RNAcentral lists this ribosomal RNA (445 nucleotides) under uncultured bacterium. RNAcentral's name for it is "bacterial SSU rRNA". It matches the Rfam family "Bacterial small subunit ribosomal RNA", at positions 330 to 792 of the family's 1533-position model. The record is from RNAcentral.
UCCAGACUCCUACGGGAGGCAGCAGUGGGGAAUAUUGCACAAUGGGGGAAACCCUGAUGCAGCGACGCCGCGUGAGUGAAGAAGUAUUUCGGUAUGUAAAGCUCUCUCAGCAGGGAAGAUAAUGACGGUACCUGACUAAGAAGCCCCGGCUAACUACGUGCCAGCAGCCGCGGUAAUACGUAGGGGGCAAGCGUUAUCCGGAUUUACUGGGUGUAAAGGGUGUGCAGGUGGCAGGGCAAGUCAGAUGUGAAAGCCCGGGGCUCAACCCCGGUAUUGCAUUUGAAACUGUCCGGCUAGAGUGCAGGAGAGGUAAGCGGAAUUCCUAGUGUAGCGGUGAAAUGCGUAGAUAUUAGGAGGAACACCAGUGGCGAAGGCGGCUUACUGGACUGUAACUGACGUUGAGGCUCGAAAGCGUGGGGAGCAAACAGGAUUAGAUACCCUUGUA